UCCAGACUCCUACGGGAGGCAGCAGUGGGGGAUAUUGGACAAUGGGGGGAACCCUGAUCCAGCGAUGCCGCGUGAGGGAAGAAGGUUUUCGGAUUGUAAACCUCUGUGGACAGGGACGAUAAUGACGGUACCUGUCAAGAAAGCCACGGCUAACUACGUGCCAGCAGCCGCGGUAAUACGUAGGUGGCAAGCGUUGUCCGGAAUUACUGGGUGUAAAGGGAGCGUAGGCGGGAAGCCAAGUCAGCUGUGAAAACUACGGGCUUAACCUGUAGACUGCAGUUGAAACUGGCUUUCUUGAGUGAAGUAGAGGUUGGCGGAAUUCCGAGUGUAGCGGUGAAAUGCGUAGAUAUUCGGAGGAACACCGGUGGCGAAGGCGGCCAACUGGGCUUUAACUGACGCUGAGGCUCGAAAGUGUGGGGAGCAAACAGGAUUAGAUACCCGAGUAC
RNAcentral lists this ribosomal RNA (446 nucleotides) under uncultured bacterium. RNAcentral describes it as "bacterial SSU rRNA". It matches the Rfam family "Bacterial small subunit ribosomal RNA", at positions 330 to 793 of the family's 1533-position model. The record is from RNAcentral.